GCCGCCCCGCUCCCUUGCGCGGCCGCCGCCGCCUUCACCUCGGAGCGGGCGCGGCUCUCAGGGCGGCAGCCGGAGCGGUGCGGGCGAGCGAUGCGCGGCGGGGGCGGCAGCCGGCGGCAGCAGGGACAUGAAGGUAUGCGCGGAAUGGCAGCGCCGGGAGCGCCCACCCCCCGCAGCCACCUAGGAGGCGGCGUGUGCAUGCAGCGAGCCGGGGCGGGCGGGCGGGCGGCAGCCGGAGCGCAGACAAUUGCGGGAGGAGGAGGAGGAGGACGGCAUGGGGAGGGCCGGCAGUCAGCACAGCGCGGAGUCGGGGGGAGGAGAAAGGGAUGCUCCCAGCCUCUUUUUUUUCCCCCCCUCUCCGAGUGGCUGCGCUAACCACGGCCGGACCGGUGGCCGCAGCAGCUGCCGUCCUCCAUCUUGCCUGGGAGGGGAACCGGGAGAGGAAACGCGACCCCGCCCGAGGAACAAGGGCGGCGGGGUUAUGUCAAUGAAGCAUCAAAAUAUCUUCUAUCGUGGACAAGUCAAAUGAACACGAAGAAAGCGAACAGCUUGUGAUAGGAAAUGCGAUUGGAUGCCUGGUUAAAGCAUGUCCUGGUGCAACACUGGAAAAGGCUGCCCAGGUUUAAAACUUCCCAGGAAGGUGAGGGGAGAGUAUGAAUUGUCUAUGUAAAGAACAUUGCAUAUGGAAGAGUUGUGCAAAGAGAUCUCUUGUGAAGAAAGAAGCAUGCACAGUAUCCAGACCAAGAAGUGCCACUAUGUCACCAUGUUUAUCCUUAAUGGAAUAUUCAAGCUGGAUGUUGCUCAGGUUCUUUUCCUUCACAAUUUGCUGUCUGCUUCAUGAAGAUAAAGAUUGCCUGAUUUUUCUAUUUCUAAGACAAAUAAAGAAGCGCAACAGCUUGAUUUUAAGUCACUGUUAUUUGCAAGCUUUCAAGAGAGUUUACGUAAACUAG
RNAcentral lists this long non-coding RNA (950 nucleotides) under Coturnix japonica (Japanese quail). Its description in RNAcentral is "lncRNA (ENSCJPG00005014952.1)". The record is from RNAcentral. Lineage: Eukaryota; Metazoa; Chordata; Aves; Galliformes; Phasianidae.